AGUCGUACAGGUCUCCGUAGGUGAACCUGCGGAGGGAUCAUUACACAAAUAUGAAGGCGGGCUGGAACCUCUCGGGGUUACAGCCUUGCUGAAUUAUUCACCCUUGUCUUUUGCGUACUUCUUGUUUCCUUGGUGGGUUCGCCCACCACUAGGACAAACAUAAACCUUUUGUAAUUGCAAUCAGCGUCAGUAACAAAUUAAUAAUUACAACUUUCAACAACGGAUCUCUUGGUUCUGGCAUCGAUGAAGAACGCAGUGAAAUGCGAUAAGUAGUGUGAAUUGCAGAAUUCAGUGAAUCAUCGAAUCUUUGAACGCACAUUGCGCCCUUUGGUAUUCCAAAGGGCAUGCCUGUUCGAGCGUCAUUUGUACCCUCAAGCUUUGCUUGGUGUUGGGCGUCUUGUCUCCAGCUUUGCUGGAGACUCGCCUUAAAGUAAUUGGCAGCCGGCCUACUGGUUUCGGAGCGCAGCACAAGUCGCACUCUCUAUCAGCAAAGGUCUAGCAUCCAUUAAGCCUUUUUUUCAACUUUUGACCUCGGAUCAGGUAGGGAUACCCGCUGAACUUAG
Molecule: ribosomal RNA, 563 nt
Filed under: uncultured fungus
Lineage: Eukaryota; Fungi
Description: eukaryotic LSU rRNA
Rfam family: 5.8S ribosomal RNA (bases 209-362)
Source: RNAcentral